RNAcentral lists this ribosomal RNA (1379 nucleotides) under Klebsiella sp. XJJC-134-4RF3. RNAcentral describes it as "bacterial SSU rRNA". It matches the Rfam family "Bacterial small subunit ribosomal RNA", at positions 61 to 1432 of the family's 1533-position model. The record is from RNAcentral. Lineage: Bacteria; Pseudomonadati; Pseudomonadota; Gammaproteobacteria; Enterobacterales; Enterobacteriaceae.
GUCGAGCGGUAGCACAGAGAGCUUGCUCUCGGGUGACGAGCGGCGGACGGGUGAGUAAUGUCUGGGAAACUGCCUGAUGGAGGGGGAUAACUACUGGAAACGGUAGCUAAUACCGCAUAAUGUCGCAAGACCAAAGUGGGGGACCUUCGGGCCUCAUGCCAUCAGAUGUGCCCAGAUGGGAUUAGCUAGUAGGUGGGGUAACGGCUCACCUAGGCGACGAUCCCUAGCUGGUCUGAGAGGAUGACCAGCCACACUGGAACUGAGACACGGUCCAGACUCCUACGGGAGGCAGCAGUGGGGAAUAUUGCACAAUGGGCGCAAGCCUGAUGCAGCCAUGCCGCGUGUGUGAAGAAGGCCUUCGGGUUGUAAAGCACUUUCAGCGGGGAGGAAGGCGAUAAGGUUAAUAACCUUGUCGAUUGACGUUACCCGCAGAAGAAGCACCGGCUAACUCCGUGCCAGCAGCCGCGGUAAUACGGAGGGUGCAAGCGUUAAUCGGAAUUACUGGGCGUAAAGCGCACGCAGGCGGUCUGUCAAGUCGGAUGUGAAAUCCCCGGGCUCAACCUGGGAACUGCAUUCGAAACUGGCAGGCUAGAGUCUUGUAGAGGGGGGUAGAAUUCCAGGUGUAGCGGUGAAAUGCGUAGAGAUCUGGAGGAAUACCGGUGGCGAAGGCGGCCCCCUGGACAAAGACUGACGCUCAGGUGCGAAAGCGUGGGGAGCAAACAGGAUUAGAUACCCUGGUAGUCCACGCCGUAAACGAUGUCGAUUUGGAGGUUGUGCCCUUGAGGCGUGGCUUCCGGAGCUAACGCGUUAAAUCGACCGCCUGGGGAGUACGGCCGCAAGGUUAAAACUCAAAUGAAUUGACGGGGGCCCGCACAAGCGGUGGAGCAUGUGGUUUAAUUCGAUGCAACGCGAAGAACCUUACCUGGUCUUGACAUCCACAGAACUUUCCAGAGAUGGAUUGGUGCCUUCGGGAACUGUGAGACAGGUGCUGCAUGGCUGUCGUCAGCUCGUGUUGUGAAAUGUUGGGUUAAGUCCCGCAACGAGCGCAACCCUUAUCCUUUGUUGCCAGCGGUUAGGCCGGGAACUCAAAGGAGACUGCCAGUGAUAAACUGGAGGAAGGUGGGGAUGACGUCAAGUCAUCAUGGCCCUUACGACCAGGGCUACACACGUGCUACAAUGGCAUAUACAAAGAGAAGCGACCUCGCGAGAGCAAGCGGACCUCAUAAAGUAUGUCGUAGUCCGGAUUGGAGUCUGCAACUCGACUCCAUGAAGUCGGAAUCGCUAGUAAUCGUAGAUCAGAAUGCUACGGUGAAUACGUUCCCGGGCCUUGUACACACCGCCCGUCACACCAUGGGAGUGGGUUGCAAAAGAAGUAGGUA